UCAGAUUGAACGCUGGCGGCAUGCCUUACACAUGCAAGUCGAACGGCAGCACGGGCUUCGGUCUGGUGGCGAGUGGCGAACGGGUGAGUAAUGCAUCGGAACGUACCCGGGAGUGGGGGAUAACUAUCCGAAAGGAUAGCUAAUACCGCAUAUUCUGUGCGCAGGAAAGCAGGGGACCUUCGGGCCUUGUGCUCCCGGAGCGGCCGAUGUCAGAUUAGCUAGUUGGUGGGGUAAAGGCCUACCAAGGCGACGAUCUGUAGCGGGUCUGAGAGGAUGAUCCGCCACACUGGAACUGAGACACGGUCCAGACUCCUACGGGAGGCAGCAGUGGGGAAUUUUGGACAAUGGGGGCAACCCUGAUCCAGCCAUGCCGCGUGAGUGAAGAAGGCCUUCGGGUUGUAAAGCUCUUUCGGCCGGGAAGAAAUCGCGUUGGCUAAUACCCAGCGUGGAUGACGGUACCGGAAUAAGAAGCACCGGCUAACUACGUGCCAGCAGCCGCGGUAAUACGUAGGGUGCGAGCGUUAAUCGGAAUUACUGGGCGUAAAGCGUGCGCAGGCGGUUUUUUAAGAUAGGCGUGA
RNAcentral lists this ribosomal RNA (578 nucleotides) under uncultured bacterium. RNAcentral's name for it is "bacterial SSU rRNA". It matches the Rfam family "Bacterial small subunit ribosomal RNA", at positions 24 to 597 of the family's 1533-position model. The record is from RNAcentral.